Molecule: ribosomal RNA, 805 nt
Filed under: uncultured bacterium
Lineage: Bacteria
Description: bacterial SSU rRNA
Rfam family: Bacterial small subunit ribosomal RNA
Source: RNAcentral
UUAGAGUUUGAUCCUGGCUCAGGACGAACGCUGGCGGCAUGCCUAAUACAUGCAAGUCGAACGAUGAAGCUUCCUGCUUGCAGGAAGCGGAUUAGUGGCGAACGGGUGAGUAACACGUGGGGAAUCUGCCCAUGAGCGAGGAAUAACAUUCGGAAACGGAUGCUAAUACCUCAUAAGUUCUCUGACCUCCUGGUCAUUGAAUAAAAGACGGCCUUUGUGCUGUCACUCAUGGAUGAUCCCGCGGCGUAUUAGUUAGUUGGUGAGGUAAUGGCUCACCAAGACCAUGAUACGUAGCCGACCUGAGAGGGUGAUCGGCCACACUGGGACUGAGAACGGCCCACACUCCUACGGGAGGCAGCAGUAGGGAAUCUUCCACAAUGGGCGCAAGCCUGAUGGAGCAAUGCCGCGUGAAUGAAGAAGGUCUUCGGAUCGUAAAGUUCUGUUAUUAGAGAAGAAUAAGUUGAGGGGUAACUAUCUCGACUUUGACGGUACCUAACCAGAAAGUCACGGCUAACUACGUGCCAGCAGCCGCGGUAAUACGUAGGUGACAAGCGUUGUCCGGAAUUAUUGGGCGUAAAGGGAGCGCAGGCGGUUGGAAUAGUCUGAUGUGAAAGCCCACGGCUUAACCGUGGAAGGUCAUUGGAAACUGUCCAACUUGAAUACAGAAGAGGUAAGUGGAAUUCCAAGUGUAGCGGUGAAAUGCGUAAAUAUUUGGAGGAACACCAGUGGCGAAAGCCACUUACUGGUCUGUAAUUGACGCUGAGGCUCGAAGGCGGGGGCACCAAACAGGAUUAAAAUACCCUGG